CCUCUCGCUAGAUUGAGUUCUGGUCCUUGAAGGGAGGGAAGGGGACGUCAGCCUAAAAAUAUCCCAGCAGGAGAAAGAGAAGAAGGAAAUCAAGGAGCAAAGCUCGUGAUCCAUUUUGAAAAGAGGCCGUCAUUUUGUCGUGAUGCUGAGAUGGGGAGGAGUUUCAGCACCGCGGACAGCUCCCGUUCACAUACGCAGAUCUCUACAGGAAUCGGGAUUCUCCAGCUCAAGCAGAGACAUUCAAUUCAGAGCAUGGCAAACGUUUCAACUCAGAUUUCAGCUUUUAAUGUGUGUACAGGACAGAUUUAAUAUAAAUGUAAUGAAGUUAGAGACAUAGAUCUUACACCUUAUUGCCGUUGGUGAAAGAAAUGGGAAAUAACAGUAAACCAAUGAAAGUCAUUGUUUUUGUUUUUUUAUUUUUUGUGUGUGUGAAUUUUACAUUUAGGGCAUAACUUAUUACCAUAUAAUACAUUUACAUUAAAAUCAUGCAAAGCUUCUUUAGAAGCUGUAUGUUUGGCACAAAUGUACAACAAUGUACCAAAUGAUGUUAAUGGAUUUUUAUUUUUAAGUUUAAAAUAUUUCCAAAGAUUUUAUACUGAUUAAUUUAUUUAUGUAUUUAUUUAUUUGGAAUCAGUGUCACGUAGGUACCUUCUUUGAGACAAACAAAACUUAAAGUAGUAAAACAGUUUUAUAAGGUUUAGGUAAUUAUUAUGUAUUUUGCAUUAACUUUUCAAAACAUUAUUCAGCCUAUUCAUUAUUUCAAAAACUUACCAACACAAAAAAACUCUCAAUAUGAAAUAGAACGGAAAAUCUGUCUUGAAGAAAUAAAGAACUUUAACAAAUAUUAAAGACACACAUAAAAACUGGAGGGAGGAAAAAAAUGUGAAGCAUUACAGCUUUGCAAACGUUGUUGUGUUCAAUUCAUUUGUAGGCAGAUAUACACGGGCAAGAAAUGCCUAUAAGAUUCGAUGUUAUAAAUUAAAAUUAAAAGUUACGUGUCAUUAUUUAAGUUAAAUGUUUCAUUUAGUACCUAUAAUCUGUAUGUUCCAUAUCUGUCGGAUUUUCUUCCACCUGACCAAAAAGUAAAUGCAAACCAUUUAUCUGAUUCAUGUUGUGUCAUGUCAAAUAAAAAAGUCUACUUGUGUCCAAGAGAUCUAACAACAUCAAAUACCUCAAAACAUUCUCAUGCCUACAAAAUUUAGACAAGAAGAUCUCAAGGUUAAUGAGCCGAUAUGUCAUGGAAUAGUUGUUAUUUUAACUUCCGCAUUUAUUUCACAUGACAUCUGAGUGUACACUCUGCUGUCUUUUUUCCUUAUUGCACUUAUGUUCAUGACUUCACAGAUGUAGCAUCCUCACCCUGAUAGUACCCGCAGAAACUGCAUGGAUGCUUUCAUCACUAACCACUUGCUGCACCUGAACUACACAGAAUGGACACUCUGACUGAACCAAAUAAAGCAAAUGGAGAAAA
Oryzias latipes (Japanese medaka) is the source of this 1468-nucleotide non-coding RNA. The record is from RefSeq and is a predicted model, not a curated record. Lineage: Eukaryota; Metazoa; Chordata; Actinopteri; Beloniformes; Adrianichthyidae.